RNAcentral lists this unclassified non-coding RNA (324 nucleotides) under soil metagenome. Its description in RNAcentral is "partial contains 5.8S ribosomal RNA, internal transcribed spacer 2, and large subunit ribosomal RNA". The stretch from base 1 to 120 matches the Rfam family "5.8S ribosomal RNA", at positions 35 to 154 of the family's 154-position model. The record is from RNAcentral.
GAUGAAGAACGUAGUGAAAUGCGAUAAGUAAUGCGAAUUGCAGAAUUCAGUGAGUCAUCGAAUCUUUGAACGCACAUUGCGCCCUGUGGUAUUCCGCAGGGCAUGUCUGUUCGAGCGUCAUUUCAACCCUCAAGCCCCGCUUGGUGUUGGGCCCCGCCCGCUGUGGCCGGCCCUAAAGACAGUGGCGGCGCCGCCUGGCCCUCAGCGUAGUACAUCUCUCGCUCCAGGGUCCGGUGGCCGCCUGCCAGAACCCCCCAACUCUGUGGUUGACCUCGGAUCAGGUAGGGAUACCCGCUGAACUUAAGCAUAUCAAUAAGCGGAGGA